Molecule: ribosomal RNA, 253 nt
Filed under: uncultured bacterium
Lineage: Bacteria
Description: partial 16S ribosomal RNA
Rfam family: Bacterial small subunit ribosomal RNA
Source: RNAcentral
GACGUAGGGUGCGAGCGUUGUCCGGAUUUAUUGGGCGUAAAGAGCUCGUAGGCGGCUUGUUGCGUCAGCUGUGAAAACCCGCGGCUUAACCGUGGGCCUGCAGCUGAUACGGGCAAGCUAGAGUUCGGUAGGGGAGACUGGAAUUCAUGGUGUAGCAGUGAAAUGCGUAGAGAUCAUGAGGAAGACCAGUGGCGAAGGCGGGUCUCUGGACAGUUCCUGACACUGAGGCACGAAGGCCAGGGGAGCAAACGGG